RNAcentral lists this transfer RNA (84 nucleotides) under Amylibacter sp. RNAcentral describes it as "tRNA-Leu". It matches the Rfam family "tRNA". Rfam says of the family: Transfer RNA (tRNA) molecules are approximately 80 nucleotides in length. Their secondary structure includes four short double-helical elements and three loops (D, anti-codon, and T loops). The record is from RNAcentral. Lineage: Bacteria; Pseudomonadati; Pseudomonadota; Alphaproteobacteria; Rhodobacterales; Paracoccaceae.
GCGGGUGUGGCGGAAUGGUAGACGCACCAGAUUUAGGUUCUGGCGCCGCAAGGCGUGAAGGUUCAAGUCCUUUCACCCGCACCA